This 207-nucleotide ribosomal RNA is filed under the name uncultured bacterium. RNAcentral's name for it is "partial 16S ribosomal RNA". It matches the Rfam family "Bacterial small subunit ribosomal RNA", at positions 568 to 774 of the family's 1533-position model. The record is from RNAcentral.
CGCGUAGGCGGCCUGAUAAGUAGGGGGUGAAAUCCUGCGGCUUAACCGCAGGGCUGCCUUCUAGACUGUCAGGCUAGAGCACAGUAGAGGCAGGUGGAAUUCCCGGUGUAGCGGUGGAAUGCGUAGAGAUCGGGAAGAACAUCAGUGGCGAAGGCGGCCUGCUGGGCUGUUGCUGACGCUGAGGCGCGACAGCGUGGGGAGCAAACA